RNAcentral lists this ribosomal RNA (329 nucleotides) under uncultured eukaryote. RNAcentral describes it as "partial 18S ribosomal RNA". It matches the Rfam family "Eukaryotic small subunit ribosomal RNA", at positions 1470 to 1796 of the family's 1831-position model. The record is from RNAcentral.
CCCUUAGAUGUUCGGGGCCGCACGCGCGCUACACUGAUGCAUUCAACGAGUCUAAAACCUGCUCUGAUAGGGGUGGGUAAUCUUUUGAAUGUGCAUCGUGAUUGGGAUAGAUGAUUGCAAUUUUUCAUCUUCAACGAGGAAUGCCUAGUAAACGCAAGUCAUCAGCUUGCAUUGAUUACGUCCCUGCCCUUUGUACACACCGCCCGUCGCUCCUACCGAUUGAAUGAUCCGAUGAAUAUCAUGGAUUGAGGAUGCAAGCAGGUUCGCCUGUCUUCAUCUUCGAGAAGUGAAGUAAAUCUUAUCAUUUAGAGGAAGGAGAAGUCGUAACA